This 433-nucleotide ribosomal RNA is filed under the name uncultured bacterium. Its description in RNAcentral is "partial 16S ribosomal RNA". It matches the Rfam family "Bacterial small subunit ribosomal RNA", at positions 29 to 507 of the family's 1533-position model. The record is from RNAcentral.
AACGAACGCUGGCGGCAUGCCUAACACAUGCAAGUCGAACGAGACCUUCGGGUCUAGUGGCGCACGGGUGCGUAACGCGUGGGAACCUGCCCUUAGGUUCGGAAUAACUCCCCGAAAGGGGUGCUAAUACCGGAUAAUGUCUUCGGACCAAAGAUUUAUCGCCCUUGGAUGGGCCCGCGUUGGAUUAGCUAGUUGGUAGGGUAAAAGCCUACCAAGGCGACGAUCCAUAGCUGGUCUGAGAGGAUGACCAGCCACACUGGGACUGAGACACGGCCCAGACUCCUACGGGAGGCAGCAGUGGGGAAUAUUGGACAAUGGGCGAAAGCCUGAUCCAGCAAUGCCGCGUGAGUGAUGAAGGCCUUAGGGUUGUAAAGCUCUUUUACCCGGGAUGAUAAUGACAGUACCGGGAGAAUAAGCUCCGGCUAACUCCGUG